AGAGUUUGAUCAUGGCUCAGAUUGAACGCUGGCGGCAGGCCUAACACAUGCAAGUCGAACGGUAACAGGAAGAAGCUUGCUUCUUUGCUGACGAGUGGCGGACGGGUGAGUAAUGUCUGGGAAACUGCCUGAUGGAGGGGGAUAACUACUGGAAACGGUAGCUAAUACCGCAUAACGUCGCAAGACCAAAGAGGGGGACCUUCGGGCCUCUUGCCAUCGGAUGUGCCCAGAUGGGAUUAGCUAGUAGGUGGGGUAACGGCUCACCUAGGCGACGAUCCCUAGCUGGUCUGAGAGGAUGACCAGCCACACUGGAACUGAGACACGGUCCAGACUCCUACGGGAGGCAGCAGUGGGGAAUAUUGCACAAUGGGCGCAAGCCUGAUGCAGCCAUGCCGCGUGUAUGAAGAAGGCCUUCGGGUUGUAAAGUACUUUCAGCGGGGAGGAAGGGAGUAAAGUUAAUACCUUUGCUCAUUGACGUUACCCGCAGAAGAAGCACCGGCUAACUCCGUGCCAGCAGCCGCGGUAAUACGGAGGGUGCAAGCGUUAAUCGGAAUUACUGGGCGUAAAGCGCACGCAGGCGGUUUGUUAAGUCAGAUGUGAAAUCCCCGGGCUCAACCUGGGAACUGCAUCUGAUACUGGCAAGCUUGAGUCUCGUAGAGGGGGGUAGAAUUCCAGGUGUAGCGGUGAAAUGCGUAGAGAUCUGGAGGAAUACCGGUGGCGAAGGCGGCCCCCUGGACGAAGACUGACGCUCAGGUGCGAAAGCGUGGGGAACAAACAGGAUUAGAUGCCCUGGUAGUCCACGCCGUAAACGAUGUCGACUUGGAGGUUGUGCCCUUGAGGCGUGGCUUCCGGAGCUAACACGUUAAGUCGACCGCCUGGGGAGUACGGCCGCAAGGUUAAAACUCAAAUGAAUUGACGGGGGCCCGCACAAGCGGUGGAGCAUGUGGUUUAAUUCGAUGCAACGCGAAGAACCUUACCUGGUCUUGACAUCCACGGAAGUUUUCAGAGAUGAGAAUGUGCCCUCGGGAACCGUGAGACAGGUGCUGCAUGGCUGUCGUCAGCUCGUGUUGUGAAAUGUUGGGUUAAGUCCCGCAACGAGCGCAACCCUUAUCCUUUGUUGCCAGCGGUCCGGCCGGGAACUCAAAGGAGACUGCCAGUGAUAAACUGGAGGAAGGUGGGGAUGACGUCAAGUCAUCAUGGCCCUUACGACCAGGGCUACACACGUGCUACAAUGGCGCAUACAAAGAGAAGCGACCUCGCGAGAGCAAGCGGACCUCAUAAAGUGCGUCGUAGUCCGGAUUGGAGUCUGCAACUCGACUCCAUGAAGUCGGAAUCGCUAGUUAUCGUGGAUCAGAAUGCCACGGUGAAUACGUUCCCGGGCCUUGUACACACCGCCCGUCACACCAUGGGAGUGGGUUGCAAAAGAAGUAGGUAGCUUAACCUUCGGGAGGGCGCUUACCACUUUGUGAUUCAUGACUGGGGUGAAGUCGUAACAAGGUA
RNAcentral lists this ribosomal RNA (1500 nucleotides) under metagenome. RNAcentral's name for it is "bacterial SSU rRNA". It matches the Rfam family "Bacterial small subunit ribosomal RNA". The record is from RNAcentral.